This is a long non-coding RNA of Myiozetetes cayanensis, 659 nucleotides long. RefSeq lists it as uncharacterized. The transcript is spliced from 3 exons. The record is from RefSeq and is a predicted model, not a curated record. Lineage: Eukaryota; Metazoa; Chordata; Aves; Passeriformes; Tyrannidae.
GGAGGCACCAAAGUUGCAAUAAGAAGUCCAAGGGCAAUCAAGAGAGACUUCAGGGCCUUGGGACAACUUGCUAAGGGAUCGGGAGCACAAGUACCACGAUCAACAGGAUGUUACAAGCAACUUCCUUGGAGCAAUGUGGUUGAUUUCAAUAACAUUUCUAUCCAUUGGAUAUGGUGACAUGGUACCUAAUACAUACUGUGGGAAAGGGGUCUGUUUACUCACUGGAAUCAUGCAACUACAGUGACAGCCUUCCUGGAUGACCCCUUCUUAACAGCUCUUUUCCCUCUCAGUUCACGUACAUGGACUUCCAGCUUGAAGGUGAGUUCACCAUCCCACUUCCUCAUGUCUUCCCCUUGGUCAUGCAGAAAGAACCAGAGUUCACCACAUGGCCUGUGCUUGGGGUUUCCUUUCCCUCUGACUGGGGAAGGAGGGGACGGAUCUCUUGGGCUGCCCCUGAGAGCCGAGGUGCUGGCCUGUGGGGAUGUGGAAGUACCCAGAGUUUCUUCUAUGUUUCAAAGCCAGGAGGACAUCACUUCUUCAAUUGGAGUAUCCAUUUGCGGGUAAUACAUUGCUAUCAGGCUGUUGGAAUAUGAUGUAAGGGUGCUUUGAACCACCUUCCUCCACAUAACCAUUGUGCAAGGGACGUCUUUUGGAUCCGU